This 243-nucleotide ribosomal RNA is filed under the name uncultured microorganism. RNAcentral describes it as "partial 16S ribosomal RNA". It matches the Rfam family "Archaeal small subunit ribosomal RNA", at positions 330 to 575 of the family's 1478-position model. The record is from RNAcentral.
GUGCACCAGUCGCGAACCUCCGCAAUACACGAAGUGUGACGGGGCCAUCCCGAGUGCCGUCCGCUGAGGACGGCUUUUCCCCAGUGUACAUAGCUGGGGGAAUAAGGAGAGGGCAAGCCUGGUGUCAGCCGCCGCGGUAAUACCGAGCUCUCCGGAGUGGUGGGACGCUUAUUGGGCCUAAAGCAUCCGGUAGCCGGCUGGGCAAGUCCUCCGUUAAAUCCAACGAUUCAAUCGUUGGACUGC